CCGCAAAUAGCGCGGCCCUCCAAGCAAUCGACGCUACCACCAAACUAACUCAAACCCCGAUCCUCCUUGACAUCUGGAACCUCCUCUUGGCUCUAAAAGCAUCCGGCACUCAGACAUACCUCACUUGGAUCCCAAGCCACAUCGGGAUCACUGGAAGCGAAUCAAACGACCUUACAUUCAUGUCAAGCCUCUUGAGCGCGGCCAGUUGAAGAAUUGGAAAUUGAGCACGGCCAGCAGCUAAGGAUCGAUACUCUUUUCGAGUGCUGCCUCAUCGCUUGUGCUCUUUACGAUGAGUACUGGUUGUUGUACGCUCAGCACCUAGAAUCGCGAUGGAACGAUGAAUUGGACAAUCGUCCUCUGAUUGAGAAACAGCUACGCAGCGUGUACCGACGAGCUUGCACCGUUCAUGCUGUCUACGACAAGACGACGCUUUACCUUAUGUGGUCCAAUUUUGAAGUAAGGCCAGUUAGUUUUAGUUUAAUUAAUUCCAGUGUUGAAGAAAUUUACCGAGCAGCAGAUCGUUUAAAGCAGGAAGUUGGAAAAGUAUCAAUCUUGGUCAAUAACGCCGGUGUGGUUACGGGUAAAGCGCUACUUGAAUGCUCCGAUGAACUUAUCCAGCGCACUUUUGACG
Long non-coding RNA from Daphnia pulex (common water flea), 631 nucleotides. RefSeq lists it as uncharacterized. The transcript has 3 exons. Lineage: Eukaryota; Metazoa; Arthropoda; Branchiopoda; Diplostraca; Daphniidae. The record is from RefSeq and is a predicted model, not a curated record.